This 774-nucleotide long non-coding RNA is filed under the name Dromaius novaehollandiae (emu). RNAcentral describes it as "lncRNA (ENSDNVG00000003706.1)". Lineage: Eukaryota; Metazoa; Chordata; Aves; Casuariiformes; Dromaiidae. The record is from RNAcentral.
AGGCUAUAUAUGAAUCAAAGUGCAUUGUUUUUAUAUUUCUAGGGAUCUGAGAGAGAACUAUUGCCAAAACCUGGAUAAUGACAUAUCCCCUUGGUGUUACACUACUGUUCCUACUGUGAGAUGGGAAUAUUGUAAUCUGCAAAAGUGUGACUAUGGAGGACACCUUGUUUCACCUGAACUGCCUUAUUCAACAUUAGAACCAGGCACUGAUAUGACUGUUUUGGACAUGACAGAGUGUAUUACUGGCGGUGGUAAAAGAUUAUCAUGGUGCAGUCAAGAAAACUAGAAGCAGCAGGACUUGUCAAGAGUGGAGUUCUCAGGAGCCUCAUCACCACACUUAUCUCACUCCAGAGACUCAUCCAAGAUCAGACCUGGAUAAAAAUUCCUGCAGUGAUUGUUGACCAAGUUAUACCUGUGUGUUUACCUGAAGGAAGUCUGAUGGUAGGAAGUGGAACAGAAUGCUUUGCUACUGGCUGGGGAGAAAUAAAAGGGAGACAGUGGAGGACCUUUAGUUUGUCUUGUCCAAGACAGGUUUGUCCAGUGUGGAAUCACCUCUUGGAGCUUUGGUUGUGCCCUGCCUAAGAAACCUUCUGUCUUUGUCUGAGUUUCUAGUUAUACUUCUUGGAUUAAGAAUAUAAUGGAAGCCAACUGAUCCUGGGAAUGGACUGCCCUCUCCUGGAAAGCAGUAUGCAUGUUAGAAAUAUGAGAUUACAAUCAUAUUAAAUUUUGAGAAUGGAAAAUAAAUAUAAAAUAAUAAAAAAAUAAAUAGAAUCC